CCUACGGGAGGCAGCAGUGGGGAAUAUUGCACAAUGGGGUUACCCCUGAUGCAGCGACGCCGCGUGAGUGAGGCAGUAUUUCUGUAUUUAAAGCUCUAUCAGCAGGGAAGAAACUGACGGUACCUGUCUAAGAAGCCCCGGCAAAAUACGUGCCAGCAUCCGCGGUAAUACGUAGGGGGCAAGCGUUAUCCGGAUUUACUGGGUGUAAAGGGAGCGUAGGCGGCUAAUCAAGGUAGACGGGAAAACCCAGGGCUCAACCUUGGGAGGGCUUUUGAAACUGAGGAGCUAGAGUGGAGGAGAGGUAAGCGGAAUUCCUAGUGUAGCGGUGAAAUGCGUAGAUAUUAGGAGGAACACCAGUUGCGAAGGCAGCUUACUGGACUGUAACUGACGUUGAGGCUCGAAAGCGUGGGGAGCAAACAGGAUUAGAUACCCCAGUAGUC
RNAcentral lists this ribosomal RNA (440 nucleotides) under uncultured bacterium. Its description in RNAcentral is "partial 16S ribosomal RNA". It matches the Rfam family "Bacterial small subunit ribosomal RNA", at positions 338 to 795 of the family's 1533-position model. The record is from RNAcentral.